UCAGGAUGAACGCUGGCGGCGUGCAUAACACAUCAAGUCGAACGGGCAGUAUUCCUCGGGGUGCUGCUAGUGGCGGACGGGUGAGUAACGCGUGAGCAACCUGCCUCUGUGAGUGGAAUAACACAGGGAAACUUGUGCUAAUACCGCAUGACGAAGCGAAGCCGCAUGACUUUGCUUCCAAAGAUUUAUCGCACAGAGAUGGGCUCGCGUCCGAUUAGGCAGUUGGUGAGGUAACGGCUCACCAAACCGACGAUCGGUAGCCGGACUGAGAGGUUGAACGGCCACAUUGGAACUGAGAUACGGUCCAGACUCCUACGGGAGGCAGCAGUGGGGAAUAUUGGGCAAUGGGGCCGCAAGCCUGACCCAGCGACGCCGCGUGAGGGAAGAAGGUCUUCGGAUUGUAAACCUCUUUGACAGGGGACGAAGUAAGUGACGGUACCCUGAAAACAAGCCACGGCUAACUACGUGCCAGCCGCCGC
Molecule: ribosomal RNA, 479 nt
Filed under: uncultured bacterium
Lineage: Bacteria
Description: bacterial SSU rRNA
Rfam family: Bacterial small subunit ribosomal RNA
Source: RNAcentral